UACGGGAGGCAGCAGUGGGGAAUAUUGCACAAUGGGCGCAAGCCUGAUGCAGCCAUGCCGCGUGUAUGAAGAAGGCCUUCGGGUUGUAAAGUACUUUCAGUCGUGAGGAAGGUGUUAAGGUUAAUAACCUUAGCAAUUGACGUUAGCGACAGAAGAAGCACCGGCUAACUCCGUGCCAGCAGCCGCGGUAAUACGGAGGGUGCGAGCGUUAAUCGGAAUUACUGGGCGUAAAGGGCACGCAGGCGGUUAAUUAAGUUGGAUGUGAAAUCCCCGGGCUUAACCUGGGAAUGGCAUUCAAGACUGGUUAGCUAGAGUCUUGUAGAGGGGGUAGAAUUCCAUGUGUAGCGGUGAAAUGCGUAGAGAUGUGGAGGAAUACCGGUGGCGAAGGCGGCCCCUGGGACAAAGACUGACGCUCAUGUGCGAAAGCGUGGGGAGCAAACAGAUUAGAUACC
RNAcentral lists this ribosomal RNA (452 nucleotides) under uncultured bacterium. RNAcentral's name for it is "bacterial SSU rRNA". It matches the Rfam family "Bacterial small subunit ribosomal RNA", at positions 340 to 786 of the family's 1533-position model. The record is from RNAcentral.